UCCUGGUUAGCUGAGUUGGUAAAGCGCUCCACUGGAAAUGGAGAGGACUCUGGUUCGAUACCAGGACCACGGA
Molecule: transfer RNA, 73 nt
Filed under: Ixodes scapularis (black-legged tick)
Lineage: Eukaryota; Metazoa; Arthropoda; Arachnida; Ixodida; Ixodidae
Description: tRNA-Ser for anticodon GGA
Rfam family: tRNA
About the family: Transfer RNA (tRNA) molecules are approximately 80 nucleotides in length. Their secondary structure includes four short double-helical elements and three loops (D, anti-codon, and T loops).
Source: RNAcentral